This 826-nucleotide ribosomal RNA is filed under the name uncultured bacterium. RNAcentral's name for it is "bacterial LSU rRNA". It matches the Rfam family "Bacterial large subunit ribosomal RNA", at positions 168 to 1044 of the family's 2925-position model. The record is from RNAcentral.
UAGGUUUAAGAGACAACCUGGAGAACUGAAACAUCUAAGUAACCAGAGGAAAAGAAAUCAAUUGAGAUUCCGUUAGUAGUGGCGAGCGAACGCGGACUAGGCCAGUAGUUUUGUUAAAAAAAUUUGAAUAGUUUGGAAAUGCUAACCAUAGAGGGUGAUAGUCCCGUAUGAGUAAUGUUUAACAAAAUUCUUGAGUAAAGCGGGACACGAGAAAUCCUGCUCGAAUAUAGGGGGACCACCCUCUAAGCCUAAAUACUCUUCAGUGACCGAUAGUGAACUAGUACCGUGAGGGAAAGGUGAAAAGAACCCCUAUUAGGGGAGUGAAAUAGAACCUGAAACUGCAUGCCUACAAUCAGUCCGAGCCUUUUUUAGGGUGAGGGCGUACCUUUUGUAUAAUGGGUCAGUGACUUAAUUUAUUAAGCAAGCUUAAGCCAUCUAGGUGUAGGCGUAGCGAAAGCAAGUCUUAAUAGGGCGAUUAGUUUAAUGAAUUAGACCCGAAAACGAAUGAGCUUACCAUGAGCAGGUUGAAAGUUGGGUAACGCCAACCGGAGGACCGAACCAGUUGACGUUGAAAAGUCUUUGGAUGACUUGUGGUAAGGGGUGAAAGGCCAACCAAAUUCGUAGAUAGCUGGUUUUCCGCGAAAACUAUUUAGGUAGUGCGUUGAAUAAAUAGAUGUUUAGAGGUAGAGCACUAAAUGGGCUAGGGGGAAGAGAUUCUUACCAAACCUAAUAAAACUCCGAAUGCUAGACAUUGUUCUUCAACAGACAGACUGUGGGUGCUAAGGUCCAUGGUCGAGAGGGAAAGAGCCCAGACCACCAGAUAAGG